AGACAGCAGUCGCCGCGGGAAUACGUAGGGUGCGAGCGUUAAUCGGAAUUACUGGGCGUAAAGCGUGCGCAGGCGGUUAUAUAAGACAGAUGUGAAAUCCCCGGGCUCAACCUGGGACCUGCAUUUGUGACUGUAUAGCUAGAGUACGGUAGAGGGGGAUGGAAUUCCGCGUGUAGCAGUGAAAUGCGUAGAUAUGCGGAGGAACACUGAUGGCGAAGGCAAUCCCCUGGACCUGUACUGACGCUCAUGCACGAAAGCGUGGGGAGCAAACAGGAUUAGAUACCCCCGUAGUCCCUGUCUCUUAUAC
Molecule: ribosomal RNA, 307 nt
Filed under: uncultured bacterium
Lineage: Bacteria
Description: partial 16S ribosomal RNA
Rfam family: Bacterial small subunit ribosomal RNA
Source: RNAcentral